AGAGUUUGAUCAUGGCUCAGGACGAACGCUGGCGGCGUGCCUAACACAUGCAAGUGGAGCGACGAACCAGGGCUUGCCCUGGGGCAAAGCCGCGAACGGGUGAGUAACACGUGGGUCACCUGCCCCGAUGACCGGGACAACCCGAGGAAACUCGGGCUAAUACCGGAUGUGCCCAAUGGGUAAAGGAACUUCGGCCUCCG
This 200-nucleotide ribosomal RNA is filed under the name uncultured bacterium. RNAcentral's name for it is "partial 16S ribosomal RNA". It matches the Rfam family "Bacterial small subunit ribosomal RNA", at positions 8 to 217 of the family's 1533-position model. The record is from RNAcentral.